UACGUAGGGUGCAAACGUUGCUCGGAAUCAUUGGGCGUAAAGCGCACGUAGGCGGCCUGAUAAGUCGGGUGUGAAAGCCCUGGGCUCAACCCAGGAAGUGCACUCGAAACUGUCAGGCUUGAAUAUGGAAGAGGGUCGCGGAGUUCCCGGUGUAGAGGUGAAAUUCGUAGAUAUCGGGAGGAACACCAGUGGCGAAGGCGGCGACCUGGGCCAAUAUUGACGCUGAGGUGCGAAAGCGUGGGGAGCAAACAGG
This 253-nucleotide ribosomal RNA is filed under the name uncultured bacterium. RNAcentral's name for it is "partial 16S ribosomal RNA". It matches the Rfam family "Bacterial small subunit ribosomal RNA", at positions 524 to 776 of the family's 1533-position model. The record is from RNAcentral.